AAAAGUGAAAUAAAUAAUUAAAAGGCAGAGACAUACCCCACCGGAAGGUGCCCGAAUGCUCCAGAAAGAGAAUCCUCACCUCCUAACUUCUUUUUCUCUUUCCUUUUUAUUUUUCUUUCUUUUUUUUUUUUUUUAAUAAAUUUACACAGUCUUGUCGCUCCCGUUAUCCCCAAAUAUCCAACGUCCCCAUCUGCUACGCCAUGCUCCCGAAAACCAAACACUUUCUUAGAGAGAGACAAAUGUUUAGGAAGCUGACAAAGACCGAAAAAGAAACCGACAGAAAAAUGGAAAAUGAGCUCUACAAUAGUCGAGUUUGUUCAACGGAUAAAAGCACACCCGGUCCAAAACCAACAGCAAUAAUCUCUGUGAUGUCCUUCCCCCAAAACAAGAUUCACCCUCAGAUAAACUUGCCCAACUUAACACUGAUGACCAUUUUAACUUAAACCAACGACAAACGUGACACCCUCCCAGUCCACGCUACGAUUAAUAACCGACUGUGUCACCCAGGCAAACAAAACCCUUCGGGAUGAUUUUUCCCCCACCUACCCAACAUCUCUCUCAGACUUUUCGCAGCUUUAGGUAAGAGUUCACCCCUCAAUAGCAGCCCCUCAAAAAAUGCCAUCAGCAGAGAGUGGUGAGCGGCCGCGUCAAUGCCCGCCGCUUUGGGAGGGCUGUGUGCUCACCACAGAACAAUUGCGUGCAGGAAAAAAUAUGGGAGGAACAAUUAAUAUUUAGAAAAAAGAAAUAAUUUUUCCAAACUGUCUUCAAUGAAGCGUUGAACUGUUUGGCCACGGAAAGGUGGACAGAGCUUGAAAAAGCAGAACGCUGAAAGUACCCUUUUUAAAAACAAUGUGGUGGUUGUAGCCUGGGUUUCUCCUCCCCGGUGCUUUGGUUUUUCUGCCACUGAUCUCACACCUCAUCUUUUUUUAUUGUUUUCUUUAAGAGGGGGAAAAAUGAGAUUUUUUUGUUUGUUUGUUUUUACAAAAGGCAUCCUCAGAGAGACCUGCUUAAAUCUGUUACUUCCUAGCUACAAAGGACUGCAAUUAAAAUAAAUUUAAAGAGUAAGCAAAAGGCAAGUCACCUGCAAAGCACCAGAGUCAGUGCCCUUAGGGAAAAAAAAUUGGAAGAAAAAAAAAGAAAAAAAGUGGGUAUUCCACAUACAUCUUGCACGAAGAAAGCAUUGAACCAACCUCUAAGGUCACUUACUGCCUGAAAACCCUCAGCAGCAGCUCACGGUGGAAGUUUUCAGGCAAGACGGCUACUAAAUCAUUAAUACAAACAAAUGGAAGGCGGGGAGGAAAGGCGCUACUGUAAUAGAUCCGAAGUCUUGGAGGAGGAAAAAAAUAUUAAAGCAAAAAAAAAUAAAACUUUCAUCUUCAGCCUCUCUUCGUUCCUCAUUAAUAAUUUUUCGGAAAAGAAAACCUUAAGCUUCAGUCAAACAAGAGGCUCUCUCUAAGCGUCUCGCUGCCGUAAUUCAGCGUAGUGCCUUCUUCUUUUUCACGAGGCCCCCCCGUUUUUCACUCCGAAGAGCCCCGCCGCAGGAAGAGCGGAUACCCAAAAAGUCGGGCAGAGCAGCCGGGGCCGGAACGUCCCGGGGCCGGGGUAGCCAGGCAGCGCCCAGCCCCGCCGGGGCGGCCGGGAAGGAAAAAGCCGCUCCCCGGCACUUCUCUGACGGGGGACAGCGGGAACCCGUCCGUGGAGCUACCGGCCGGGCAGCGCCCGCUGUGCCGAGCCAAGCCGAG
This 1742-nucleotide long non-coding RNA is filed under the name Gallus gallus (chicken). Its description in RNAcentral is "lncRNA (ENSGALG00010007292.1)". The record is from RNAcentral. Lineage: Eukaryota; Metazoa; Chordata; Aves; Galliformes; Phasianidae.